This 1083-nucleotide long non-coding RNA is filed under the name Felis catus (domestic cat). Its description in RNAcentral is "lncRNA (ENSFCAG00000042573.2)". Lineage: Eukaryota; Metazoa; Chordata; Mammalia; Carnivora; Felidae. The record is from RNAcentral.
CAAACAUGACCAAAAAAGUUUUGGGGCUGUGCAUCAUAUAUAUCAUCAGAUUGUGGAGAUUAUUCCAGCUCUCCAAACAAAAACGUUUAUUUUCACAGUAAAUUUAAUUCCUUUUUUUUUCUUUUUCUUUUUUUUUUCAAAUCAUCCAAGACUGAAGAAACAAGUGUGGAUUGUGAAAAUAGCAUGCAGCAUUUGACAUUUUAAAAUUUGUUUUCUACUAGUUCCCUACAAAGAAUAGCCUGCUCCAGUGCUGGCCUGAGAUUUGGACCACAACAAAUGCUCAGCGUGGCAAGCUUCUAGAGUCAGCAAGAGAUCCUCAAAUUAAGAUGGAGUUCCAAGGCAAAGAUUAAAUGUGUAUCACCUGGUAACAUAGGCUAAGCUGAGGAAGCCAAGUCAAACCUAUGUGAAGACCCUUCUAGAAAGCAUAAACUUGUAGUCUCAUGGAAGCCUGAUGGGCCCAAAGAAUCUGAUUACAUAAAGAGGCAGGUCUAAAAAGGAGUCAUGAGUGCGGCUUUGACCAGUGGAGUUGACUCGCUUCAAAUUUAUAGAUAAUCCAUAAAGUUCUGAAGAAAGAACCAGUCUGAACUAAAAGAAACAGAGGCUGUUGGGGAUUUGAAAAGGACUUUAGGCCUUCAAAUUUCUACAAUCAAGAAGCAGGCUGCAAAGACGGCCCAGCAAUCAAAAGAGAACAUAUUUUCCCAAGGCUUCAUCAGGAGUGGACAAUGAGGAUGAUGGAUAGUGGUGUAGCUCAUAGCAGAUGCAACCAAAGUCUGGGUAAUAAACAACUAGAGAUGCACUUCUGAAGCAUCGGGUGGAUCAACAGAUACUCCCUGUCCCAAAGUAUGGCAUUAUUCACUCACCUCAGCGAUGGUCUGCCCAGUAAUAUUUCAUCUUUAGAAACUUUUGGAGACCUUCCCUUCCUGAAUGAAUCAUUCUCAUUUUUAAUCAUACAAAUAGAUAAGAAACCAUGUUGCAAAAGUCGUAUUAUACAAUUUCACCAUUGAUAUACAACAAAUAUGCACUACGUUUCUGUUUUCUUUCACCAAAAAUAAAAAUAAUUAACCAUGAAUGUAACUUAUUAGU